RNAcentral lists this ribosomal RNA (252 nucleotides) under uncultured bacterium. Its description in RNAcentral is "partial 16S ribosomal RNA". It matches the Rfam family "Bacterial small subunit ribosomal RNA", at positions 524 to 775 of the family's 1533-position model. The record is from RNAcentral.
UACGUAGGGGGCCAGCGUUGCUCGGAAUUACUGGGCGUAAAGGGUUCGUAGGUGGUGCGGCAAGUUGGAAGUGAAAUCUCUGGGCUUAACCCAGAGGCUGCUUUCAAAACUGCCGUGCUCGAGUGCGAGAGAGGCCAGUGGAAUUGCAGGUGUAGCGGUGAAAUGCGUAGAUAUCUGCAGGAACACCCGUGGCGAAAGCGGCGCGCUGGACCACUACUGACGCUGAGGAACGAAAGCUAGGGGAGCAAACAG